CACUCUUGGGUCCGGUGUCAAAUCAUGGCCGAGCGCUGCGUGCCCGCGUUGCAGCAGAGCCGAGGCCUCCCCCAGAACCAGUGGGCGAAAUGCCGGAGAAGGCUGGUGACGGAGCGUACAAGAGCAAAACAGACGCUUGUGCAGCGUGCAA
This 151-nucleotide non-coding RNA is filed under the name Karenia brevis. Lineage: Eukaryota; Dinophyceae; Gymnodiniales; Kareniaceae. The record is from RNAcentral.